GCCCAGGUAGCUCAGUUGGUAGAGCAGCGGACUGAAAAUCCGCGUGUCGCUGGUUCGAUUCCGGCCCUGGGCACCA
RNAcentral lists this transfer RNA (76 nucleotides) under Rhodoligotrophos appendicifer. RNAcentral describes it as "tRNA-Phe". It matches the Rfam family "tRNA". From Rfam's summary of the family: Transfer RNA (tRNA) molecules are approximately 80 nucleotides in length. RNAcentral also lists the same sequence under 37 other names. Lineage: Bacteria; Pseudomonadati; Pseudomonadota; Alphaproteobacteria; Hyphomicrobiales; Rhodoligotrophaceae. The record is from RNAcentral.